This 114-nucleotide non-coding RNA is filed under the name bovine gut metagenome. Its description in RNAcentral is "FMN riboswitch (RFN element)". It matches the Rfam family "FMN riboswitch aptamer (RFN element)". Rfam says of the family: The RFN element is a highly conserved domain that is found frequently in the 5'-untranslated regions of prokaryotic mRNAs that encode for flavin mononucleotide (FMN) biosynthesis and transport proteins. This element is a metabolite-dependent riboswitch that directly binds FMN in the absence of proteins. In Bacillus subtilis, the riboswitch most likely controls gene expression by causing premature transcription termination within the 5' untranslated region of the ribDEAHT operon and precluding access to the ribosome-binding site of ypaA mRNA. The record is from RNAcentral.
AGUCUUCAGGGCGAGGUGUAAUUCCUCACUGGCGGUACAGUCCGCGAACUGCCUCAGGGCAGCCGAACCGGUGUGACUCCGGUACCAACGGUAUAGUCCGGAUGGAAGAAGAUG